AUACAGCUGACGAGUCCAAAGCGGGACGAAACGCGCAUCCUGGAU
Molecule: non-coding RNA, 45 nt
Filed under: Trichobilharzia regenti
Lineage: Eukaryota; Metazoa; Platyhelminthes; Trematoda; Strigeidida; Schistosomatidae
Source: RNAcentral